RNAcentral lists this ribosomal RNA (253 nucleotides) under uncultured bacterium. RNAcentral's name for it is "partial 16S ribosomal RNA". It matches the Rfam family "Bacterial small subunit ribosomal RNA", at positions 524 to 776 of the family's 1533-position model. The record is from RNAcentral.
GACGUAGGGCGCGAGCGUUGUCCGGAUUUAUUGGGCGUAAAGAGCUCGUAGGCGGCUUGUUGCGUCAGCUGUGAAAACCCGCGGCUCAACUGCGGGUCUGCAGUCGAUACGGGCAGGCUAGAGUUCGGUAGGGGAGACUGGAAUUCCUGGUGUAGCGGUGAAAUGCGCAGAUAUCAGGAGGAACACCGAUGGCGAAGGCAGGUCUCUGGGCCGAUACUGACGCUGAGGAGCGAAAGCAUGGGGAGCGAACAGG